CGCAAAGCUCUUGUAACUGAUGAUGGGAUUAUGAUAGAGUCCAUCCAGAUAUGUGAAACACAAGACGCUCCCAACUUCGACAGAAUAUCAGCAACCGAGUUACCCUCUCGAUAUAUGUGUUGGAUUCUACAAGAGAUUAUAGACAGGAGGUAUUGUAUCUCUUCCCAGUAAUCUUCUAGAUACCAAAUACCACAAACCUUCCUCCUUAACCAAUUAACGAUAAUCAAUGAAUCUAUCUCCACUUCAAGACGGUUAAUCCCUAUCCUUUUAGCAUGUCGAAGCCCAUAUAAUAAUGCCAAUAGCUCAGCUCCAUUAUUAGUACCCUCACCAAGUUCCUCAGCAAAGGCUAUGACAAUAUCACCUCUUUCAUUCCGAAUAAUACCUCCAGCACUACAAAUUCCAGGAUUGCCCAGGCAGCACCCAUCAUUAUUGAGUUUGUGCCACCCUUCCAAUGGUCGUUGCCAUCUCACUACUUUAAAGUUUUUCCAUUUAAUUGGCUUGUCUGGGAUAUUAAGCUCCCUCAACACCCAUUCAUCUCUUCUGUUAAAUGUUCUCACUUUUUUUUAGUUUUAGCCUCACCCAAAGGAUCCAAAUUUUAAUUUUCCUCCAAGUAGCUUCUAUAAAUUCCCUCUUGUCCUCCAUCUUGGCUGAACAUCGCCACAACCAUAAAUGCCAGCAAAUAAUACUAGGAAUAAUACCCACUAGAGUACCUUUAUGUGAUGUAUGUUUUGCUCUUCCGUACCAGGUUUCUACGCGCUCCCUCCACCCUCGAGUCUCUAUAUAUUGAAUUCCCAGUAAGGUUGAAGCAUUUUGCCAAAUUUGUUGGGCAACGUCACCCAAGGCCAAUACGUGAUCCUGAUCCUCAUAUCUCCCUUGAGAGCAACACAUACACUUUAAUAAAAUAGGAAUGCCUGCCUUUCGAAUUUUGUCAUCUACUGAGAGGCCUCCUUUCAUGGCUAACCACAUACUUAAUGAAAUGUUCUUAAGUAGUGUUGGGUGCCAAAUCCAUUCAUGCCACUGUGAUAUCUGCCCCUGACGUCUAGUAGCUUCCCAACCACUUUUUGGAGAAAAUUUUCCAACCAAGUUUUCAUUCCAAAUCAAUUUGUCUUUACCUGUCUCAUUUUUCCAAAUUUAACAAGAAUUUCUCCCGCUUGAUCUUUCCCAGCUAACUCCUCCAAGAGUCUUUCAUUCCAUCCGUUGUCAGCUUUAAGAUCCUUGAUCAAGAUUUUAGGCUGUUCAACCACUAACAACCGAUCACCCAAAGGAUCCAUGUUUGACCAUCUAUCCCACAAGAACGAAACACUACCUUUCUUCACUCGCCAUCUAGAUCGUUUGAGAACAUCUAGAAUGCAUUUUAUAACCAUCUUCUAGAAUCUUGAUCCUUUAGUAGCAUCCACCUGGGAUAUAUGUUUGUCUUUGAUAUAUUUUGCCCUAAAAAAUUUUGACCAAAGAGAUGUUUCAGUCAAAAUUUUCCAAGCAAAUUUCAUAUUUAGUGAUAGUUGUACUUCAUGUAGACUACAAAGUCCAGCACCGCCCUCUUUAACAGGCAUACAAAAUUUGUCCCAUGCUACCCAUUUCUUCUUAGGCUUUCCAUCCGCAUAUCCCCAGAAGAAAUCACUAAAUAUUCUAUUGAUGACUUUCAUAACCGAGGAAGGAGCUUCUAUACAAGAAAUCAGAUGCAGAGGUAUACUUGUGAGGACAUGUUUCAGAAGCAGUAGUCUAGCCCCUUUAGAUAAGACUCUACUUUGCCAACCUGCCAAUCUCAUACGAAUUCUUUCUACCACUUUCUCAAGGUCUCAAGCUCUCAAUCUUUCUGUGAUUAUAGGAACCCCUAAAUAUUUGAAAGGGAAUUUAACUUCAAAGAAUCCAGUGAGUCGUAAGAGCAUCCGUCUUCUUGACACGGUGAUCUGUUUAGAGAAAAGGAUGAAUGUUUUAUCAACACUUACAACCUGUCCCGACCAUUCUUCAUAUUUUAUGAAUACUUCCUUAAUAGCUCUUAACGAUUUUUUCCACCAUUCGCAAAUAUCACGAUGUCAUCAGCAUACAGUAGAUGAGAAAUUAGGGGAGCCCCCCUUGGUAAGGAAAAAGGUCUUAUGCUUCCAUCUUCAUAUUUAGCUCUCAACAUUCUGGAUAAAACUUCUUCAACCACGAUAAAGAGAUAUGGGGAUAGGGGAUCCCCUUAUCUCAAACCUCUUCUGCCUUUGAAGAAACCCUCCAAGUUAUACACUGUCUUACCAGAUCACAAAUCUUGGGCGAGAGACCAGAAGAUCUCAAAACGUGCAUAAGAAAAUCCCAAUCAAUGCUAUCAUAUGCUUUUGGCAAUAUCCACUUCAAGCACAACAUUUCCACCCCUUACAGGCUUGUGAAAAUAAUGAAUCAUCUC
Molecule: long non-coding RNA, 2383 nt
Filed under: Olea europaea subsp. europaea
Lineage: Eukaryota; Viridiplantae; Streptophyta; Magnoliopsida; Lamiales; Oleaceae
Source: RNAcentral